CUCAGACCACACUCAGACCAGACUCAGACCAGGCAGUGUCACUCUAUUUCUAUUUUGCCUAAGACUCCACAAUUAUUGACCAGCAGUACAACAGUACAAUAUGGUGAUGGGCAACUAUAUAAAAUGAAGACACAAGACCAAGCUGAAUUCAAUUAAAUCUAAGAACUUUGUUUGCUGUUUGUCAAUGAAAUCUGCCGAGAGAAAGACCAUCACACAUUGAUACUAUUGAAGGGAUUAGAAGUGGUACAUGUAUGAAGAUGAUAUGGAGAAGAUGAUCACAGGGAACUGGUGCAUAGAAUUUCCAUCCACAGUGAUUGCAGCUUUGGUCACCCCAUUCUUCGCAGACCCGUUCGAAAGAACCCCCCUUUUUGCUGGGAAAAGGACCCCUCUGGGUAAAAUUUUUUCUAGGUACUCGUGUAGGUCUCAUGGUAAAAGAUCCUGUUUUUCAGAAAAAGAAACACCCUUUUUGAAAAUUUUGGCUACAGGCCUGCUUCAGUACUGUUAUUAAGGGUGCUCUGAAUGCUAAAACCACCACUAUGCUGUAAACAAGUGCAUUACCUACACAACUUGUCAAGGAUUUGAGGAAAAACAGUUAAGAGUAUCAUGGUCACUGUACUAC
Molecule: long non-coding RNA, 619 nt
Filed under: Lingula anatina
Lineage: Eukaryota; Metazoa; Brachiopoda; Lingulata; Lingulida; Lingulidae
Description: uncharacterized LOC106173221, transcript variant X3
Source: RNAcentral